AAGAAGACUCAAAUUUCAACUAAAGUUUUUGUCAAUGACUUCUCCGUCUCUAAUGAUAAAUGGCAUGAAUGUUCCAUUUAAAAUGAUAGCCCAUACUUCCAUAUCAUAGGACAUGAUAGGCAAUCUUUCCAAUAACCGUAAUUUUUGCCGGUAAAGGUUGGAGAUCUAUUAUACGGCCCUUUCAGUUCUGGAAAUGUCAUAGUGUACACUCUUAAAGCUGUUAGGUCCUCUAGACAAAAGUUAAACUACUAAUACCACUUUUUACUCUAUAUGGUUCCCCCAAUUUAGAGGUGAUGAGUGAUUUGUAGAUCUUCACUAGAGCUUGAUACUGAUCCUGAAGAGUCAAUACCACUUUGUCUAAUGUGAAUCAUCAGCAUUGUAUUUGCAUUAUGAAGAAGUAAGGACUUGUUCUGAAACCUAAAACUAUUUGGUGCAGUCCAUGCCUCCCACCCAGACCACAUGAAUGAAUAUAAUAGCAAAAAUAACAAUAUCUUGAAUCUUGGAGCUCAAACACUUGUUGCAGCAAUUUAAAAGUGAUUUAGCAG
Molecule: long non-coding RNA, 545 nt
Filed under: Trifolium pratense (red clover)
Lineage: Eukaryota; Viridiplantae; Streptophyta; Magnoliopsida; Fabales; Fabaceae
Description: long non-coding RNA (TPRA_LNC012713)
Source: RNAcentral